This 305-nucleotide ribosomal RNA is filed under the name uncultured bacterium. Its description in RNAcentral is "partial 16S ribosomal RNA". It matches the Rfam family "Bacterial small subunit ribosomal RNA", at positions 506 to 809 of the family's 1533-position model. The record is from RNAcentral.
ACAGCAGCAGCCACGGGAAUACGGAGGGUGCAAGCGUUAUCCGGAUUUAUUGGGUUUAAAGGGUCCGUAGGCGGAUCUGUAAGUCAGUGGUGAAAUCUCACAGCUUAACUGUGAAACUGCCAUUGAUACUGCAGGUCUUGAGUAAAUUUGAAGUGGCUGGAAUAAGUAGUGUAGCGGUGAAAUGCAUAGAUAUUACUUAGAACACCAAUUGCGAAGGCAGGUCACUAAGAUUUAACUGACGCUGAUGGACGAAAGCGUGGGGAGCGAACAGGAUUAGAUACCCCUGUAGUCCCUGUCUCUUACAC